Molecule: ribosomal RNA, 440 nt
Filed under: uncultured bacterium
Lineage: Bacteria
Description: partial 16S ribosomal RNA
Rfam family: Bacterial small subunit ribosomal RNA
Source: RNAcentral
CCUACGGGUGGCAGCAGUGGGGAAUAUUGCACAAUGGGGGAAACCCUGAUGCAGCGAUGCCGCGUGGAGGAAGAAGGUUUUCGGAUUGUAAACUCCUUUUAUCAGGGACGAUAAUGACGGUACCUGAAGAAAAAGCUCCGGCUAACUACGUGCCAGCAGCCGCGGUAAUACGUAGGGGGCAAGCGUUAUCCGGAUUUACUGGGUGUAAAGGGAGCGUAGGUGGCAAGGCAAGUCAGAUGUGAAAACCCGGGGCCCAACCCCGGGAGUGCAUUUGAAACUGUCUGGCUAGAGUGCAGGAGAGGUAAGUGGAAUUCCUAGUGUAGCGGUGAAAUGCAUAGAUAUUAGGAGGAACACCAGUGGCGAAGGCGGCUUACUGGACUGUAACUGACACUGAGGCUCGAAAGCGUGGGGAGCAAACAGGAUUAGAUACCCGUGUAGUC